Non-coding RNA from Peromyscus maniculatus bairdii (prairie deer mouse), 332 nucleotides. NCBI's taxonomy places the organism in Eukaryota, Metazoa, Chordata, Mammalia, Rodentia, Cricetidae. The record is from RefSeq and is a predicted model, not a curated record.
GAGGCAAUCUGACACAUUAUAUGCACAGUGAGGAAGUAGAGUGCAAUAAAUGUUAACAUUGGGCUACCUUUCUCUUUCUUAUUCAGUCUGGUACCCCAGCGGAUGGAACAGCACCACUGACAUGGAAGGCCCGGUGUUCCUCUGACCUUGGGGAAAGAGAAUCAUGGAAACACUUCAUUGCCUGGACUCAAAAUAAGCUGAGAAGAUACAUCCCUUGGCUAGAGGAAAGCUACCAACCAGAAUGUCUAUCCUCCUUUUAACACUACCAAGAGUUGAGUUGACAGAUCCCUUUUUACAAAGCAGAAAAUCAACCAUCCCACAGCCCUUCCUUU